Molecule: ribosomal RNA, 481 nt
Filed under: uncultured bacterium
Lineage: Bacteria
Description: SSU rRNA
Rfam family: Bacterial small subunit ribosomal RNA
Source: RNAcentral
AGAACGAACGCUGGCGGCAUGCCUAACACAUGCAAGUCGAACGCUUCCGGGGCUUCGGUCGCGGAGGAGUGGCGCACGGGUGAGUAGCGCGUGGGAACCUGCCCUGUUGUGGGGGAUAACCGAGGGAAACUUCGGCUAAUACCGCAUACGCCCCGGGACUUGGUCUUCGGAUUAGGUCUGGGGGGAAAGAUUGAUCGCAGCAGGAGGGGCCCGCGUCGGAUUAGCUGGUUGGUGGGGUAACGGCUCACCAAGGCGAUGAUCCGUAGCUGGUCUGAGAGGAUGAUCAGCCACACUGGGACUGAGACACGGCCCAGACUCCUACGGGAGGCAGCAGUGGGGAAUAUUGGACAAUGGGGGCAACCCUGAUCCAGCAAUGCCGCGUGAGUGAUGAAGGCCUUAGGGUUGUAAAGCUCUUUCGCCCGCGACGAUGAUGACGGUAGCGGGAGAGAAGCCCGGCUAACUUCGUGCCAGCAGCCGCGGU